CCUACGGGAGGCAGCAGUGGGGAAUAUUGCACAAUGGGGGAAACCCUGAUGCAGCGACGCCGCGUGAGUGAAGAAGUAUUUCGGUAUGUAAAGCUCUAUCAGCAGGGGAGAAAUAGCGACCUUUGGGUCGCCAGACGGUACCUGAUUAAGAAGCCCCGGCUAACUCCGUGCCAGCAGCCGCGGUAAUACGGGGGAUGCGAGCGUUAUCCGGAUUUAUUGGGUUUAAAGGGUGCGCAGGCGGAAGAUCAAGUCAGCGGUAAAAUUGAGAGGUUCAACCUCUUCGAGCCGUUGAAACUGGUUUUCUAGAGUGAGUGAGAAGUAUGCGGAAUGAGUGGUGUAGCGGUGAAAUGCAUAGAUAUCACGCAGAACUCCGAUUGCGAAGGCAGCAUACCGGCGCUCAACUGACGCUCAUGCACGAAAGUGUGGGUAUCGAACAGGAUUAGAUACCCUUGUAGUC
Molecule: ribosomal RNA, 457 nt
Filed under: uncultured bacterium
Lineage: Bacteria
Description: partial 16S ribosomal RNA
Rfam family: Bacterial small subunit ribosomal RNA
Source: RNAcentral